RNAcentral lists this long non-coding RNA (1178 nucleotides) under Homo sapiens (human). Its description in RNAcentral is "HSALNT0042564". The record is from RNAcentral. Lineage: Eukaryota; Metazoa; Chordata; Mammalia; Primates; Hominidae.
GUCUCGUUCAGCUGAAGGCAUGUACCUACAAAGGUCACAAGACAGUUGUCACUGGAGAGCAGAUAUGGGAGAUCCAGAAGGAUCAACUUCUAUACAAUCCAUUCUUAAAAAUGUGCCUUUCAGCAAAUGGAGAGCAUCCAAGUUUAGUGUCAUGCAACCCAUCAGAUCCACUCCAAAAAUGGAUACUUAGCCAAAAUGAUUAAGUGUUCCUUAAAAUUAAGUUGAAAAAGGAAAUAUUCUUUCUCAUAAAACUGUGACUAGGCAUACACUGUAGUUUUUGAAAAUUAUGCAAAAGCAGCUAAAUGUAACUUAUUCCAAGUGCAUUUUUCUUAUUUAUAUCUUUAUGUAGCACUACUACAGAAAUUCUGCAAGUUUCUGUUUCAAAGCACAAUAACUAGUAAUACCAAAGACUAUUUCAAAAUGUCCAGAUGUAGGGGAAGAGAUGUUUACAGUAUGAUGAAAAUAAUUUUCCAAGUAAAGUGAUGUUUGUGUGUUUUGUACACUUAGGGAUAUAUAUAUAUAGCUACAUUCACACACUCACAAUUUAAAAUAUUUCCCCUAGUUUUUUGGGGGGAUAGGAAGAAAGAUUUGUUACUGUAUUUUUUUAACUACAUAAAAAUAGAUCAAUAAAUGUCAGCAUUGGCCUCUGUGUACAAACCAAGAGCUUUUACAGAUCCAGAAUUUAUUAGUUUAAAAUGCAGGUGAACUUUUUUUUGCGUUUGGUUUACUUGUCUGUCAAAUGUUUCCUUAAACAUGAAACUGAAUAAGGAGAAGAGUAUUUUUAACACUUAAAUUUCUUGGCAAAUUUUAAAACAUUUUUUAGUCUGUAAUACACUCCACUUGAAGCACUUAAGUCUUCCUUAAAUGACUUUUCUUAAGUAAUGAUACUGUGUGUUUUCCCAAAGCACUUUUAAAAAAAUUUUUAUAAAUUACUAUCUGUUGAAAAGGUGUCCUUUUCCUUUCUUCUAGUAUUUUUUUCUUACCAAAAUUCACUAAUCUUGAAUGUUUGUGAUAUUAAAUUUCAAAUGCAGAAUACUUGACUCAUUUAAAGCUAAAUUUUGUUACUGAUUCAAUUAUAAUUGUAAUGGAUUUUUGACUUUGUAAUGGAUUCUUUUCAUCAAAAAGCCUUAUUUUUUUAUCUAUGUGGAAAACACAAUAAAAAAUCCUCAACACUAUUG